UACGUAGGGGGCAAGCGUUGUCCGGAUUUAUUGGGCGUAAAGAGCGUGUAGGCGGCCAUGUAGGUCCGUUGUGAAAACUCGAGGCUCAACCUCGAGACGCCGAUGGAAACCAUGUGGCUAGAGUCCGGAAGAGGAGAGUGGAAUUCCUGGUGUAGCGGUGAAAUACGCAGAUAUCAGGAAGAACACCCGUGGCUAAGGCGGCUCUCUAGUACGGUACUGACGCUGAGACGCGAAAGCGUGGGGAGCGAACAGG
This 253-nucleotide ribosomal RNA is filed under the name uncultured bacterium. RNAcentral's name for it is "partial 16S ribosomal RNA". It matches the Rfam family "Bacterial small subunit ribosomal RNA", at positions 524 to 776 of the family's 1533-position model. The record is from RNAcentral.